This 476-nucleotide ribosomal RNA is filed under the name uncultured bacterium. RNAcentral describes it as "partial 16S ribosomal RNA". It matches the Rfam family "Bacterial small subunit ribosomal RNA", at positions 28 to 523 of the family's 1533-position model. The record is from RNAcentral.
GACGAACGCUGGCGGCGUGCUUAACACAUGCAAGUCGAGCGAUGAAGCUCCUUCGGGAGUGGAUUAGCGGCGGACGGGUGAGUAACACGUGGGUAACCUGCCCUGUACACACGGAUAACAUACCGAAAGGUAUGCUAAUACGAGAUAACAUGUAAUGAUCUAAUGGUCGAAACACCAAAGCGCCGGCGGUACAGGAUGGACCGGCGGCUGAUUAGCUAGUUGGUGAGGUAAUGGCUCCCCAAGGCGACGAUCGGCAGCCGACCUGAGAGGGUGAUCAGCCACAUUGGAACUGAGACACGGUCCAAACGCCUACGGGAGGCAGCAGUGGGGAAUAUUGCACAAUGGGCGAAAGCCUGAUGCAGCAACGCCGCGUGAGCGAUGAAGGCCUUCGGGUCGUAAAGCUCUGUCCUCAAGGAAGAUAAUGACGGUACUUGAGGAGGAAGCCCCGGCUAACUACGUGCCAGCCGCCGCAGUAA